CCUACGGGCGGCAGCAGUGGGGAAUAUUGCACAAUGGGGGAAACCCUGAUGCAGCGACGCCGCGUGAGUGAAGAAGUAUUUCGGUACGUAAAGCUCUAUCAGCAGGGAAGAAAAUGACGGUACCUGACUAAGAAGCCCCGGCUAACUACGUGCCAGCAGCCGCGGUAAUACGUAGGGGGCAAGCGUUAUCCGGAUUCACUGGGUGUAAAGGGAGCGUAAACGGCAGCGCAAGUCUGGAGUGAAAUCCCAUGGCUUAACCAUGGAACUGCUUUGGAAACUGUGCAGCUAGAGUGCAGGAGAGGUAAGCGGAAUUCCUAGUGUAGCGGUGAAAUGCGUAGAUAUUAGGAGGAACACCAGUGGCGAAGGCGGCUUACUGGACCGUAACUGACGUUGAGGCUCGAAAGCGUGGGGAGCAAACAGGAUUAGAUACCCGGGUAGUC
This 440-nucleotide ribosomal RNA is filed under the name uncultured bacterium. RNAcentral's name for it is "partial 16S ribosomal RNA". It matches the Rfam family "Bacterial small subunit ribosomal RNA", at positions 338 to 795 of the family's 1533-position model. The record is from RNAcentral.